This is a long non-coding RNA of Corticium candelabrum, 2330 nucleotides long. RefSeq lists it as uncharacterized. The record is from RefSeq and is a predicted model, not a curated record. The transcript is spliced from 11 exons. NCBI's taxonomy places the organism in Eukaryota, Metazoa, Porifera, Homoscleromorpha, Homosclerophorida, Plakinidae.
AAAGCCAACAUUCCUACUUAUCUCAUUGUACUAGCGCUUUAUUUUCUACGUGGUUGGAUGGAGCGUGUCAGACAUCGACGGUCGGUUCUCCCGUUUCUAGAACACGGACUGACGUCCUACUGUCAACAGUCUCUUUGUCUUCGUCGCCUAGAACGACAGGACAGAUGGAGGUGUCGCUAGAAUACGACAGUGGUGCUUCCUAUUGUCAAAAUGCAUACCAGCUUGGUCAAAUGUGCUUACGGAGAACUGGACUGAAAACAAUGAAGAUCUCUGAAAUACUGCAACGUUGCCAUCAGUCAUUAGCCAAGGUCACGUGAUUACUAUAAUGACCACUUAGCUCACUGUUUAUCAGGGAGCAGCAACAGAUAAUAUCAAAGUAACUUUACCAGACCCUCUUCCCGCCAAGGGAAGUCAAAGGGGGAGGGGCUGGCUAGACAAGACUAAAUCACUUGUAGUAGUAGUAAUCAUGAGCAUAUUCCAACUUCUUUCUAAUUCUUUCUAAAAAUGUGUUUUAUUUUGAUCAAACUGCAUGUGAUUACUUCUACGUUGUGUUAUGACUUCAUUUUAGGGAAUCAGAAUGUCAUGCAUGCAUUUUUGUAUAUGCACUAAUUUUUGUUUGUGUCUGACACCGAUGUACUCAAGAUUACAACCAAGUGUCGAAAGAUUAGUUGGAAGGAACUCGAUACAAUAACCAGAAUUACGUGCUUUGUGGACGGAUAACUUGGCCACUACCACUAUGGCUUGCUCAGAGGCUUCUUCACAGAUGUCUGACGAGGGCAGCACAUGGGAGAAGCAGAAGAAAGUUUUUACACGGACAAUGAAUGGCCUAGUACAUACAUUGAAGAUAUUGAUGAAUUUGGAUCAUGUGUUGACUCAGAUGAUCACAACAUUCCAAAGGAGAGACGUCGUAAUUUAGAGCAAUACAGCUAACAACUGAGUCUUUGCACACACUCUACUCUCCACCAUCCUCAGGCUUUCGUUGAAUCCUUUCAACAACCAGAAGCUCAUCAUAGAUCAUGGAAUGCGACAAACGAAUGCAGUCAACAUCUAGAAAAGUGACUAGACGAGCCACCCGAGUGCUACUACAAACAGUUAUUGAGCAUUUUGAAGAGUGCGAGGAAGCACAACCAGCAGAAACCGAAACAAUGCAGACAUGUGAUGAAAGUGGUCUCUUCGAUUAUGAACAGCUGCCAUAUUUUCAGUGACUGUGUUCAACAAGAAUGGAUUGACCAUCAAAUUUUUUUCUCAAAAAUUUCCAGCAAUCCCAACAACAUAGUCGAGAUCUUGAUGUUUGCUCUUAACUCCCAACUUGUAGCAAUCAUGGACUUUCUAUUUCAAGUUGCAGUACCAAAGGCAUUCCAGUUAAACAACCAGUCACUCUGUGAAUGUAAUUCCAUCUUCUGAUUCUGGGAGUGUGAUGCAAAUCAUUUACGUUGAGCAUCUUCAACGGAUGAUUACAACAUUCCAAGGGAGCGACAUCCUCAUUUGGAGUAAUACAUCGAACAACAUUUUCUUCUUACACUCUUUUCUAUCCACCAUCCUCACACUUUUGUUGAAUUGUUUCAAUGACCACAAGCUCAUCAUAGAUCAUGGAAUGCUACAAACAAAAUCAGUGAACGUCUAGAAAAGUGACAAGACGAGCCAACCAAGUGCUACUACAAACAGUUAUUGAGCAUGUCGAAGAGUGGGAGGAAGCACAGCAAGAGGAAACUGAAACAAUGUAGACAAGCAAUGAAAGUGGUCUCUUCGAUAAUGAACAGCUGUCAUACCUCCAAUGACUGUGUUGAACAAGAUGGAUUGACCAUCGAAUAUUUUGUUCUUAAAAAUUUCCAACAAUCUCAACAACAUAGUCGAGAUCUCGAUGUUUGCUCAUAACUCCUAAUCUCUAGCAAAGACGGAAUUUCUAUUUCCAGUAGCAGUACCAAUGGCAUUUCAGUUAAACAUCCAGUCACCAUCCGGGAAAGUAAUUCUGUCUUCUAGUUCUGGCAGCAUGACACAAAUUAUCACAUUGCGCCUCCUAAACAGCAACGGUUGAGGAUGAGACUGCGGAUUUCAUACAGUGUGGAUGGAUCCCCUGUGACCGAACAAGAUGAGAUUGGCGACUUUCCACCAGCAGUUUCUUAGUAAUGUGAGUUAGGGUGAUUGUUAGUUUGUACUGCUAGUCAUCUUGCUAGUUGUGUGACUGUUGUCGUGUUUUGCGUAAAUUUAUUGUAGAUUUUUGCGUAGAUGGUACUUGUAGCUUGGCAGCUGUUGUCUAUGAAGUGCUUUCAAAUUCUGUCUUGCUACGGUGUCACUUUGGAAAUAGACGCAUCACAGUUUAGUCUAGCGCA